UGGCUCAGAACGAACGCUGGCGGCAGGCNUAACACAUGCAAGUCGAGCGCACCUUCGGGUGAGCGGCGGACGGGUUAGUAACGCGUGGGAAUAUGCCCAGAUCUACGGAAUAGCCUCGGGAAACUGAGAGUAAUACCGUAUACGCCNUACGGGGGAAAGAUUUAUCGGAUUUGGAUUAGCCCGCGUUGGAUUAGGUAGUUGGUGGGGUAAUGGCCUACCAAGCCGACGAUCCAUAGCUGGUUUGAGAGGAUGAUCAGCAACACUGGGACUGAGACACGGCCCAGACUCCUACGGGAGGCAGCAGUGGGGAAUCUUGGACAAUGGGGGCAACCCUGAUCCAGCCAUGCCGCGUGAGUGAUGAAGGCCUUAGGGUCGUAAAGCUCUUUCGCCUGUGAAGAUAAUGACGGUAGCAGGUAAAGAAACCCCGGCUAACUCCGUGCCAGCAGCCGCGGUAAUACGGAGGGGGUUAGCGUUGUUCGGAAUUACUGGGCGUAAAGCGCACGUAGGCGGACCGGAAAGUUGGGGGUGAAAUCCCGGGGCUCAACCCCGGAACUGCCUCCAAAACUAUCGGUCUAGAGUUCGAGAGAGGUGAGUGGAAUUCCGAGUGUAGAGGUGAAAUUCGUAGAUAUUCGGAGGAACACCAGUGGCGAAGGCGGCUCACUGGCUCGAUACUGACGCUGAGGUGCGAAAGUGUGGGGAGCAAACAGGAUUAGAUACCCUGGUAGUCCACACCGUAAACGAUGAAUGCCAGUCGUCGGGUAGCAUGCUAUUCGGUGACACACCUAACGGAUUAAGCAUUCCGCCUGGGGAGUACGGUCGCAAGAUUAAAACUCAAA
RNAcentral lists this ribosomal RNA (836 nucleotides) under uncultured marine bacterium. RNAcentral's name for it is "bacterial SSU rRNA". It matches the Rfam family "Bacterial small subunit ribosomal RNA", at positions 20 to 905 of the family's 1533-position model. The record is from RNAcentral.